This 492-nucleotide ribosomal RNA is filed under the name uncultured bacterium. Its description in RNAcentral is "partial 16S ribosomal RNA". It matches the Rfam family "Bacterial small subunit ribosomal RNA", at positions 29 to 507 of the family's 1533-position model. The record is from RNAcentral.
AGUGAACGCUGGCGGUAGGCCUAACACAUGCAAGUCGAACGGCAGCACAGUAAGAGCUUGCUCUUACGGGUGGCGAGUGGCGGACGGGUGAGGAAUACAUCGGAAUCUACUUUUUCGUGGGGGAUAACGUAGGGAAACUUACGCUAAUACCGCAUACGACCUACGGGUGAAAGCAGGGGGUCUUCGGACCUUGCGCGAUUGAAUGAGCCGAUGUCGGAUUAGCUAGUUGGCGGGGUAAAGGCCCACCAAGGCGACGAUCCGUAGCUGGUCUGAGAGGAUGAUCAGCCACACUGGAACUGAGACACGGUCCAGACUCCUACGGGAGGCAGCAGUGGGGAAUAUUGGACAAUGGGCGCAAGCCUGAUCCAGCCAUACCGCGUGGGUGAAGAAGGCCUUCGGGUUGUAAAGCCCUUUUGUUGGGAAAGAAAAGCAGCAGGUUAAUACCUCGCUGUUCUGACGGUACCCAAAGAAUAAGCACCGGCUAACUUCGUG